This 1370-nucleotide ribosomal RNA is filed under the name uncultured bacterium. Its description in RNAcentral is "16S ribosomal RNA". It matches the Rfam family "Bacterial small subunit ribosomal RNA", at positions 30 to 1381 of the family's 1533-position model. The record is from RNAcentral.
UGAACGCUGGCGGCGUGCCUAAUACAUGCAAGUCGAGCGAACGGACGAGAAGCUUGCUUCUCUGAUGUUAGCGGCGGACGGGUGAGUAACACGUGGAUAACCUACCUAUAAGACUGGGAUAACUUCGGGAAACCGGAGCUAAUACCGGAUGAUAUUUUGAACCGCAUGGUUCAAAAGUGAAAGACGGUCUUGCUGUCACUUAUAGAUGGAUCCGCGCUGCAUUAGCUAGUUGGUAAGGUAACGGCUUACCAAGGCAACGAUGCAUAGCCGACCUGAGAGGGUGAUCGGCCACACUGGAACUGAGACACGGUCCAGACUCCUACGGGAGGCAGCAGUAGGGAAUCUUCCGCAAUGGGCGAAAGCCUGACGGAGCAACGCCGCGUGAGUGAUGAAGGUCUUCGGAUCGUAAAACUCUGUUAUUAGGGAAGAACAUAUGUGUAAGUAACUGUGCACAUCUUGACGGUACCUAAUCAGAAAGCCACGGCUAACUACGUGCCAGCAGCCGCGGUAAUACGUAGGUGGCAAGCGUUAUCCGGAAUUAUUGGGCGUAAAGCGCGCGUAGGCGGUUUUUUAAGUCUGAUGUGAAAGCCCACGGCUCAACCGUGGAGGGUCAUUGGAAACUGGAAAACUUGAGUGCAGAAGAGGAAAGUGGAAUUCCAUGUGUAGCGGUGAAAUGCGCAGAGAUAUGGAGGAACACCAGUGGCGAAGGCGACUUUCUGGUCUGUAACUGACGCUGAUGUGCGAAAGCGUGGGGAUCAAACAGGAUUAGAUACCCUGGUAGUCCACGCCGUAAACGAUGAGUGCUAAGUGUUAGGGGGUUUCCGCCCCUUAGUGCUGCAGCUAACGCAUUAAGCACUCCGCCUGGGGAGUACGACCGCAAGGUUGAAACUCAAAGGAAUUGACGGGGACCCGCACAAGCGGUGGAGCAUGUGGUUUAAUUCGAAGCAACGCGAAGAACCUUACCAAAUCUUGACAUCCUUUGACAACUCUAGAGAUAGAGCCUUCCCCUUCGGGGGACAAAGUGACAGGUGGUGCAUGGUUGUCGUCAGCUCGUGUCGUGAGAUGUUGGGUUAAGUCCCGCAACGAGCGCAACCCUUAAGCUUAGUUGCCAUCAUUAAGUUGGGCACUCUAAGUUGACUGCCGGUGACAAACCGGAGGAAGGUGGGGAUGACGUCAAAUCAUCAUGCCCCUUAUGAUUUGGGCUACACACGUGCUACAAUGGACAAUACAAAGGGCAGCGAAACCGCGAGGUCAAGCAAAUCCCAUAAAGUUGUUCUCAGUUCGGAUUGUAGUCUGCAACUCGACUACAUGAAGCUGGAAUCGCUAGUAAUCGUAGAUCAGCAUGCUACGGUGAAUACGUUCCCGGGUCU